CCUACGGGUGGCAGCAGUGAGGAAUAUUGGUCAAUGGGCGAGAGCCUGAACCAGCCAAGUCGCGUGAGGGAGUACUGCCCUAUGGGUUGUAAACCUCUUUUGUCGGGGAGCAAAAGCCGGACGUGUCCGGCUGUGAGAGUACCCGAAGAAAAAGCAUCGGCUCACUCCGUGCCAGCAGCCGCGGUAAUACGGAGGAUGCGAGCGUUAUCCGGAUUUAUUGGGUUUUAAGGGUGCGCAGGCGGAUUUUUAAGUCAGCGGUAAAAUCGUGGGGCUCAACCCCAUCCAGCCGUUGAAACUGGGGAUCUAGAGUGUGCGAGAGGUAUGCGGAAUGCGUGGUGUAGCGGUGAAAUGCAUAGAUAUCACGCAGAACCCCGAUUGCGAAGGCAGCAUACCGGUGCACAACUGACGCUCAGGCACGAAAGCGUGGGUAUCGAACAGGAUUAGAUACCCCAGUAGUC
This 458-nucleotide ribosomal RNA is filed under the name uncultured bacterium. RNAcentral describes it as "partial 16S ribosomal RNA". It matches the Rfam family "Bacterial small subunit ribosomal RNA", at positions 338 to 795 of the family's 1533-position model. The record is from RNAcentral.